RNAcentral lists this ribosomal RNA (517 nucleotides) under uncultured bacterium. RNAcentral describes it as "partial 16S ribosomal RNA". It matches the Rfam family "Bacterial small subunit ribosomal RNA", at positions 28 to 523 of the family's 1533-position model. The record is from RNAcentral.
GACGAACGCUGGCGGCGUGCUUAACACAUGCAAGUCGAACGGGACUUUUUUCUGUAGCAAUACAGAGAAAAGUCUAGUGGCGAACGGGUGCGUAACACGUGAGCAACCUGCCGUGAAGUGGGGGAUAGCUCGCCGAAAGGCGAAUUAAUACCGCAUGUGGCCAAGGAAGACAUCUUCCUGACGCCAAAGCCGGGGCAACCUGGCGCUUCUCGAGGGGCUCGCGGCCUAUCAGCUUGUUGGUGAGGUAACGGCUCACCAAGGCUAUGACGGGUAGAUGGGCUGAGAGGACGACCAGCCACACUGGAACUGGGACACGGUCCAGACACCUACGGGUGGCAGCAGUCGAGAAGUUUUCACAAUGGGGGAAACCCUGAUGGAGCGACGCCGCGUGGAGGAUGAAGGUUUUCGGAUUGUAAACUCCUGUCAUUAGAGAACAAGGCACACGGUUUAACUGGCCGUGUGUUGAUAGUAUCUGAAGAGGAAGAGACGGCUAACUCUGUGCCAGCAGCCGCCGUAA